This 253-nucleotide ribosomal RNA is filed under the name uncultured bacterium. Its description in RNAcentral is "partial 16S ribosomal RNA". It matches the Rfam family "Bacterial small subunit ribosomal RNA", at positions 524 to 776 of the family's 1533-position model. The record is from RNAcentral.
UACAGGGGGUGCAAACGUUGCUCGGAAUUAUUGGGCGUAAAGCGCGCGUAGGCGGCUACUUAAGUCGGAUGUGAAAGCCCUUGGCUCAACUGAGGAAGUGCACCCGAAACUGAGUGGCUAGAGUACGAAAGAGGGUCGCGGAAUUCCCGGUGUAGAGGUGAAAUUCGUAGAUAUCGGGAGGAACACCGGUGGCGAAGGCGGCGACCUGGGUCGAUACUGACGCUGAUGCGCGAAAGCGUGGGGAGCGAACAGG